Molecule: small RNA, 155 nt
Filed under: Saccharothrix sp. ST-888
Lineage: Bacteria; Bacillati; Actinomycetota; Actinomycetes; Pseudonocardiales; Pseudonocardiaceae
Also listed under: 1 other name
Description: c-di-AMP riboswitch aptamer (ydaO/yuaA leader)
Rfam family: c-di-AMP riboswitch aptamer (ydaO/yuaA leader)
About the family: This family represents a conserved RNA structure found upstream of the ydaO and yuaA genes in Bacillus subtilis and related genes in other bacteria. The ydaO/yuaA element is thought to act as a genetic "off" switch for the ydaO and yuaA genes in its native state. It is believed that the element may be triggered during osmotic shock leading to activation of ydaO, a predicted amino acid transporter gene, and members of the yuaA-yubG operon which code for KtrA and KtrB K+ transporters.
Source: Rfam by way of RNAcentral
CGUUCCGGGACACCGAGCAAACCCCUGGGCAGGAGCGGGGGACCCAGGUUAGUUGCCGCCCCCAACGGCUUGGGGUGAAGCCGCGCACCCGCGCGGCCGGGCCACCUCCCGGUCCGAACCCGACAGCUCACCUCGCAGGCGUACGGAGAGGAACG